RNAcentral lists this ribosomal RNA (499 nucleotides) under uncultured Actinomycetes bacterium. RNAcentral's name for it is "bacterial SSU rRNA". It matches the Rfam family "Bacterial small subunit ribosomal RNA", at positions 8 to 522 of the family's 1533-position model. The record is from RNAcentral. Lineage: Bacteria; Bacillati; Actinomycetota; Actinomycetes.
AGAGUUUGAUCAUGGCUCAGGACGAACGCUGGCGGCGUGCUUAACACAUGCAAGUCGAACGAUGAAGCCAGCUUGCUGGUGGAUUAGUGGCGAACGGGUGAGUAACACGUGGGUGAUCUGCCCCAAACUUUGGGAUAAGCCUGGGAAACUGGGUCUAAUACCGAAUAUGACCACUGGAUGCAUGUCUGGUGGUGGAAAGCUCCGGCGGUUUGGGAUGGGCCCGCGGCCUAUCAGCUUGUUGGUGGGGUAAUGGCCUACCAAGGCGACGACGGGUAGCCGGCCUGAGAGGGCGACCGGCCACACUGGGACUGAGACACGGCCCAGACUCCUACGGGAGGCAGCAGUGGGGAAUAUUGCACAAUGGGCGCAAGCCUGAUGCAGCGACGCCGCGUGAGGGAUGACGGCCUUCGGGUUGUAAACCUCUUUCACCAGGGACGAAGCGAAAGUGACGGUACCUGGAGAAGAAGCACCGGCCAACUACGUGCCAGCAGCCGCGGUA